Molecule: ribosomal RNA, 1758 nt
Filed under: human gut metagenome
Description: bacterial LSU rRNA
Rfam family: Bacterial large subunit ribosomal RNA
Source: RNAcentral
UAUGGAGCGAGGUUAAGCAGGAUAUGCGGAGCCGAAGCGAAAGCGAGUCUUAAGAGGGCGAAAGUUGCAUGCAGUAGACCCGAAACCGGGUGAUCUAGCCAUGACCAGGUUGAAGUUGGGGUAAAACCCGAUGGAGGACCGAACCGACCCCCGUUGAAACGUUGGCGGAUGAGUUGUGGCUAGGGGUGAAAUUCCAAUCGAACCCGGAGAUAGCUGGUUCUCCCCGAAAUAGCUUUAGGGCUAGCGUCGAGGUAGAGAGUUGCGUGAAGGUAGAGCACUGAAUAUGUGAUGGCCCCAUCUCGGGGUACUGAGCAUAAUCAAACUGCGAAUGUCACGGAAACAUACUCGGCAGUCAGACAGCGGGUGAUAAGGUCCGUUGUCAAGAGGGAAACAGCCCAGACCAUCAGCUAAGGUCCCAAAAUGUAUGCUAAGUGGAAAAGGAUGUGGAGAUGUACAGACAACUAGGAGGUUGGCUCAGAAGCAGCCAUCCUUUAAAGAGUGCGUAACAGCUCACUAGUCGAAUGACUCUGCGCCGAUAAUUUACCGGGGCUAAGCAUACUACCGAAGCUAUGGAUCCCAAGGGAUGGUAGGGGAGCGUUCCAUGAACGGAGAAGCGCGAUCGAGAGGACGCGUGGAGAUCAUGGAAGAGAGAAUGCCGGUGUGAGUAGCGGAACGUGGGUGAGAAUCCCACGCACCGAAAACCCAAGGUUUCCAGAGGAAGGUUCGUCCGCUCUGGGUAAGUCGGGACCUAAGGCGAGGCCGAGAGGCGUAGUCGAUGGACAACAGGUAGAGAUUCCUGUACUCAUAUAUAUGUGAAGGAAUGACGGAGAGAGGAAGCUGCAGCCAGCGGCUGGAAGAGCUGGUGCAAGCGAGAUAUCGGGAUGGCAGGCAAAUCCACCAUCCGAAACGAGAAGGCGUGAAGCGUACGGAAAGCUAAGGCGAGUACGGAAGGCAGUGGAGGAGCUUCCAAGAAAAGUUUCUAACGAAAGUAUAUGUGACCCGUACCGAAAAUGGACACACAUGGGUGAGGAGAGAAUCCUAAGGUGAGCGAGAGAACUAUAGCUAAGGAACUCUGCAAAAUGACUCCGUAACUUAGGGAGAAGGAGUGCUCAUAGAGAUAUGAGCCGCAGUGAAACGGCCCAAGCGACUGUUUACCAAAAACACAGCUCUCUGCUAAGCCGCAAGGCGAAGUAUAGGGGGUGACGCCUGCCCGGUGCUGGAAGGUUAAGGGGAGGGGUUAACGCAAGUGAAGCCCUGAACUGAAGCCCCAGUAAACGGCGGCCGUAACUAUAACGGUCCUAAGGUAGCGAAAUUCCUUGUCAGGUAAGUUCUGACCCGCACGAAAGGCGUAACGAUUUGGGCGCUGUCUCAGCUGUAGACUCGGUGAAGUCUUAGUACCUGUGAAGAUGCAGGUUACCCGCGACUAGACGGAAAGACCCCAUGGAGCUUCACUGCAGGUUGAUAUUGGGAUUUGAUGCAGCAUGUACAGGAUAGGUAGGAGGCAAAGAGAUGGAUACGCCAGUAUUCAAGGAGCCGCUGUUGGGAUACUACCCCUGUUGUAUUGGAUUUCUAACCGGACGACGUAAAGCCGUUGACGGGACAGUGUCAGUCGGGCAGUUUGACUGGGGCGGUCGCCUCCCAAAGAGUAACGGAGGCGCCCAAAGAUACCCUCAGCUUGGAUGGAAACCAAGCGCAGAGUGCAAAGGCAAAAGGGUGUUUGACUGCGAGACCUACAAGUCGAGCAGGGACGAAAGUCGG